AACGUAGGAGGCGAGCGUUAUCCGGAUUUACUGGGUGUAAAGCGCGUGCAGGCGGCUGACCAAGUGGCGUGUGAAAGCGCCCGGCUCAACCGGGCGAGGACAGGUCAGACUGGGCAGCUGGAGCGAGGUAGAGGCGUGUGGAAUUCCGGGUGUAGUGGUGAAAUGCGUAGAGAUCCGGAGGAACACCAGAGGCGAAGGCGACACGCUGGGCCUUUUAGCUGACGCUGAGACGCGAAAGCAUGGGGAGCGAACGGG
This 255-nucleotide ribosomal RNA is filed under the name uncultured bacterium. RNAcentral's name for it is "partial 16S ribosomal RNA". It matches the Rfam family "Bacterial small subunit ribosomal RNA", at positions 524 to 776 of the family's 1533-position model. The record is from RNAcentral.